RNAcentral lists this ribosomal RNA (2001 nucleotides) under Triticum aestivum (bread wheat). Its description in RNAcentral is "partial small subunit ribosomal RNA". Lineage: Eukaryota; Viridiplantae; Streptophyta; Magnoliopsida; Poales; Poaceae. The record is from RNAcentral.
AUGUUCGAGUAUGUAAAUGUUGUCAGCAAGAUGUUUGAUAGUGAGGCUGAAGGCUAUGAAUUCUACAAAAAAUAUGCUCUUGAAAAAGGUUUUAGUGUGAGGAAAAGCUACGUUGAGUGGGAUGGAUCCAACAAAUACAUAAUUUUAAGGAAAAUUGUGUGUAGUCGUCAAGGGUUUCGCGAAGAUAAGCACAUGAAAAGAAAGAUGGAAGAUAGAAAGAGGAGGCCACGAAGUUUAACUCGUGUUGGGUGUAAUGCUAAAUUGGUCAUUAAGAGACAGGAGGAAACCGGUCGGUGGUUUGUCAAGGAUUUCAUCGAUGAGCACAGCCAUCCUCUAGCCCUACGGGAUCUUUCUUGUCUGCUGCGUUCGCACAGACGAAUUAGCGAUGAGCAGAAAGCGGACAUGGAAAAAUGUGGGACCCGCAAAUACCGUAUUAUGGAUAUUUUGUGCUUUCAAUACGGUGGAUUUGAUAAGAUUGGAUGCAUAAAGAGGGACAUUUAUAAUUUCUGCCAUGCUAAUAAGCAGGAGACAAUCAGUCUCGGUGAUGCUAAAACGGUGAUCAUGCACAUGAUGGCGAGGCGAGAGCGAGAUGUGGAUUUUUUCUUCAAGUACUUGGUAGACGAGCAUGGCCAUCUGAAGGGACUGUUCUGGGCUGAUAGUCAAUUGCGACUUGACUACGAGGCUUUCGGAGACGUCAUUGUUUUCGAUAGCACAUACAGAACCAACAAAUACAAUCUGCCAUUCGUGCCUUUUGUCAGGUUGAAUCACCACCGCAGCACUGUUAUAUUUGGCUGUGGUAUAAUUUCUCAUGAAACAAGCCAUGCAUACGAGUGGAUGUUGCGGACCUUUUAUGAUUGCAUGGCACAGAAGCAUCCGAUAUCUGUGAUCACAGAUGGGGACCUUGCAAUGCAGAGAGCAAUAAGAGUGGUCUGGCCAGACUCAAACCAUAGACUAUGUAUAUGGCACAUUCAGCAGAAUAUUGUAUGCCAUCUGCAUGAUGACGACGUAAAGGAGGAAUUCAGAUCUUUCAUUUAUGAUACUUCUUCCAUUGAAGAGCAUGAGAUAAAAUGGAUACAAUUCUUACAACGGAAUAAAGUAACCAGUGAGGAGUCUUGGCUGCAUCAGAUGUAUCAGAUGAGAAAGUUGUGGUGUGCUCCAUAUCUUGAGGGGCGUUGUUUCCUAGGAUUGAGCAGCAAUCAGAGGAGUGAGAGCUUGAACUCUGUGCUACAUACGCAUCUUGAGGGUAAGAUGUCGUUGUUUGAAAUGCUAGAGCACUAUGAGCGUUGCCUUGCAUCGCGACGGAUUAACGAAGCUCUCCAUGACGUUGAAGCCUUGCAGUCCGUUCCAUUUACAGAGGAAAAUGCUUCGCCGCUUGAGAAACACGCCGCAAUAGUUUUCACACCUAGUGUCUUUAAGAUGGUCUUAUGGAGCAUAGAUGCUGUCAGCAAAUGUCAGAUUAGAGAGAUACUAGAUGGAUCAGAAGAUUCCACUUAUGUUGUGUCCAAGCAGGAAAGAAUGGAUAAAAAGUUUGGAGUGCGCAUUGAAGAGCAAGGAGGUCUUUUGCACAGGGUGAGUUGUUCUUGCCGUAAGCUGGAAUGCGCAGGCACACCAUGUUCCCACAUUUUUUACAUAUUGGGGAUUUUAAAACAAACAAUUCUGCCCGGUUGUUGCGUUCCCACUAGGUGGACUAUGAAUGCAAAAUGUGCAUACGCAGCUACCAGAAAAAACCAGAUGUAUGACUAUUCGGUAAGCCUGCAGAGGUACCGCGAGUUGCGGAAUUGUAGUCACGCCGCAAGUUUCCAGGCAUGCCACUCUGAUGAGGACUAUCACCGUCUAAAGAUGCUUUUGCAAGCACAACAUCAUGGCAAGCAAUCAAGUUUUGAACAAGCUAACAGCAAGGAGUCAACUAAUGCUCAGCAUAACAGCAUUAGGUUUGGCCCGUUGAUGCCGCACUCGCAGAAAUUUGAUAAGGUUCUGGAUCCUGUGCAUGUGCCAGGAUGA